UACGUAGGGGGCAAGCGUUGUCCGGAUUUAUUGGGCGUAAAGAGCGUGUAGGCGGCCAGGUAGGUCUGCUGUGAAAACUCGAGGCUCAACCUCGAGACGUCGGUUGAAACCGUACGGCUAGAGUCCGGAAGAGGAGAGCGGAAUUCCCGGUGUAGCGGUGAAAUGCGCAGAUAUCGGGAAGAACACCCGUGGCGAAGGCGGCUCUCUGGGACGGUACUGACGCUGAGACGCGAAAGCGUGGGGAGCGAACAGG
Molecule: ribosomal RNA, 253 nt
Filed under: uncultured bacterium
Lineage: Bacteria
Description: partial 16S ribosomal RNA
Rfam family: Bacterial small subunit ribosomal RNA
Source: RNAcentral